Molecule: transfer RNA, 77 nt
Filed under: Mollicutes bacterium
Lineage: Bacteria; Bacillati; Mycoplasmatota; Mollicutes
Description: tRNA-Arg
Rfam family: tRNA
About the family: Transfer RNA (tRNA) molecules are approximately 80 nucleotides in length. Their secondary structure includes four short double-helical elements and three loops (D, anti-codon, and T loops).
Source: RNAcentral
GCACCCAUAGCUCAAUUGGAUAGAGCGUUAGACUACGGAUCUAAAGGUUGGGGGUUCAACUCCCUCUGGGUGUACCA